RNAcentral lists this long non-coding RNA (853 nucleotides) under Coffea arabica (coffee). RNAcentral's name for it is "long non-coding RNA (CARA_LNC001789)". The record is from RNAcentral. Lineage: Eukaryota; Viridiplantae; Streptophyta; Magnoliopsida; Gentianales; Rubiaceae.
UUUUUUUUUUUUUUUUUUUUUUUUUUGGCCUUUUAUCCACAUAAAAUGCCAGCGGUCAGCUCAACAUUUGUCAGUGAAAUGGGUAAAGAAUCUGAAUAAAGGGGAUGGGCUUUUAAGAAACGAGUAGCCUGUAGAAGUUUAACUCAUAAUACUAAUUACACUAAUUCCAGAUUAUAUACCGACAUCCAAAUACCAUUCCUUUUAAAAGGUGAUCCGUCUCAAAACUUUUUGGACCCCUGAAACUUACACAUGCAAGUCAGUCAGUAUCUUUCAGUUUGGAUUAGCAACUAAACUUGCCAGAAUGAUUCAAAGGGCUCGUAUUAAAGAGAUGAGUGAUCUUUUUGGCUGAAAAAAAAGGUGUUGGAUGAACAAACGGUGCAAUUUUAAAUAGUUUGGUGACUUUUUUGACCAUUUACUCUAUUCUUAAUAUUCAAAAUCAGGGUCCCUCAACAAGAUUAAUACCAUUCUACCAUCGUCUACAGCAGAGGAGCAAUUAAAACAUUUUCAAGCUAGUAUUUAAACCUUUGACUACCCUUUUUUUAUUUCUUUUGUUUCCUUUCUGCACAUUACUCACCUUUAUGUUAUGAAAUUGAAAACACAUGUAUAGAAUGUCAAAAAUGCUGGCUGCUCAUAACGAUAACAGAACCUGAAUGUUAACUAACAAUCUUAUUACAUAAUGCUAACAUAUUCUAAAAGAAAUAGAUCAACUUAAAAUCUCCUUAUAAACUGGUGGCAUAUUUUAGAAGGAAUAUGUGUAGGAGCUCAAGCUUUGCUACACCUCCAGAAGUAGCUUUCAGAAGUCACAGAUGUAAAUCUCUGCAAUAGUGACUGUUUCCUGUAUGAGUAUGACCAG